Molecule: ribosomal RNA, 174 nt
Filed under: uncultured bacterium
Lineage: Bacteria
Description: partial 16S ribosomal RNA
Rfam family: Bacterial small subunit ribosomal RNA
Source: RNAcentral
UACUCCUACGGGAGGCAGCAGUGGGGAAUAUUGGACAAUGGGGGCAACCCUGAUCCAGCCAUGCCGCGUGAGUGAAGAAGGCCUUCGGGUUGUAAAGCUCUUUUGGCGGGGACGAUGAUGACGGUACCCGCAGAAUAAGCCCCGGCUAACUUCGUGCCAGCAGCCGCGGUAAUA